UUCGGAACUUUAAAAUUGUAUUGAAGUUGGAGAUAUCAUGUUGACAACUUUUUUUUUCAUGUCUCUGCAAUUGUAUGCACAAACUAUCAUGUUUUCAUGCUUGUUUUUAAUGUCUAUUUUCCCCUUGAAUUAGUGUAAUAUUAACUAGGGAGCGUAUGCAUUGAUAGAAGCUUUGCUCCAUUUAGUGCAAUACUUGCAAUAGAAGAUGGAACAUCCUUUUACCUUUCAAGAACUUUAACAUUGCUAUGAAUUGACAAACAUCCCCCCACAAAGAGAAUAAAAAAAUAGAAUGCACCCGCAAAAAAAAA
Molecule: long non-coding RNA, 308 nt
Filed under: Hordeum vulgare
Lineage: Eukaryota; Viridiplantae; Streptophyta; Magnoliopsida; Poales; Poaceae
Description: long non-coding RNA (HVUL_LNC005397)
Source: RNAcentral